GACGAACGCUGGCGGCGUGCCUAAUACAUGCAAGUAGAACGCUGAAGGAGGAGCUUGCUCUUCUGGAUGAGUUGCGAACGGGUGAGUAACGCGUAGGUAACCUGCCUGGUAGCGGGGGAUAACUAUUGGAAACGAUAGCUAAUACCGCAUAACAGUAGAUGUUGCAUGACAUUUACUUAAAAGGUGCAAUUGCAUCACUACCAGAUGGACCUGCGUUGUAUUAGCUAGUUGGUGGGGUAACGGCUCACCAAGGCGACGAUACAUAGCCGACCUGAGAGGGUGAUCGGCCACACUGGGACUGAGACACGGCCCAGACUCCUACGGGAGGCAGCAGUAGGGAAGCUUCGGCAAUGGACGGAAGUCUGACCGAGCAACGCCGCGUGAGUGAAGAAGGUUUUCGGAUCGUAAAGCUCUGUUGUAAGAGAAGAACGAGUGUGAGAGUGGAAAGUUCACACUGUGACGGUAUCUUACCAGAAAGGGACGGCUAACUACGUG
This 495-nucleotide ribosomal RNA is filed under the name uncultured bacterium. RNAcentral's name for it is "partial 16S ribosomal RNA". It matches the Rfam family "Bacterial small subunit ribosomal RNA", at positions 28 to 507 of the family's 1533-position model. The record is from RNAcentral.